CCUACGGGUGGCAGCAGUGAGGAAUAUUGGUCAAUGGACGAGAGUCUGAACCAGCCAAGUAGCGUGAAGGAUGACUGCCCUAUGGGUUGUAAACUUCUUUUAUAUGGGACUAAAAUGUUCCACGUGUGGGAUUUUGUAUGUACCAUAUGAAUAAGGAUCGGCUAACUCCGUGCCAGCAGCCGCGGUAAUACGGAGGAUCCGAGCGUUAUCCGGAUUUAUUGGGUUUAAAGGGAGCGUAGGUGGAUUGUUAAGUCAGUUGUGAAAGUUUGCGGCUCAACCGUAAAAUUGCAGUUGAAACUGGCAGUCUUGAGGAAAGUAGAGGUGGGCGGAAUUCCUGGUGUAGCGGUGAAAUGCGUAGAUAUCAGGAGGAACACCGGCGGCGAAGGCGGCUUACUGGACUGUAACUGACGUUGAGGCUCGAAGGCGUGGGGAGCAAACAGGAUUAGAUACCCUUGUAGUC
This 460-nucleotide ribosomal RNA is filed under the name uncultured bacterium. RNAcentral describes it as "partial 16S ribosomal RNA". It matches the Rfam family "Bacterial small subunit ribosomal RNA", at positions 338 to 795 of the family's 1533-position model. The record is from RNAcentral.